This 449-nucleotide ribosomal RNA is filed under the name uncultured bacterium. RNAcentral's name for it is "partial 16S ribosomal RNA". It matches the Rfam family "Bacterial small subunit ribosomal RNA", at positions 29 to 523 of the family's 1533-position model. The record is from RNAcentral.
AACGAACGCUGGCGGCAUGCCUAAUACAUGCAAGUCGAACGAUCACUUCGGUGGUAGUGGCGCACGGGUGCGUAACGCGUGGGAAUCUGCCCUUGGGUUCGGAAUAACAUCGGGAAACUGAUGCUAAUACCGGAUGAUGACGUAAGUCCAAAGAUUUAUCGCCCAGGGAUGAGCCCGCGUAGGAUUAGCUAGUUGGUGGGGUAAAGGCCUACCAAGGCGACGAUCCUUAGCUGGUCUGAGAGGAUGAUCAGCCACACUGGGACUGAGACACGGCCCAGACUCCUACGGGAGGCAGCAGUAGGGAAUAUUGGACAAUGGGGGCAACCCUGAUCCAGCAAUGCCGCGUGAGUGAUGAAGGCCUUAGGGUUGUAAAGCUCUUUUACCGGAGAAGAUAAUGACGGUAUCCGGAGAAGAAGCCCCGGCUAACUUCGUGCCAGCCGCCGCAGUAA